CACGUGGUAUCCUGUCUGAAUAUGGGGGGACCAUCCUCCAAGGCUAAAUACUCCUGACUGACCGAUAGUGAACCAGUACCGUGAGGGAAAGGCGAAAAGAACCCCGGCGAGGGGAGUGAAAAAGAACCUGAAACCGUGUACGUACAAGCAGUGGGAGCACAGGUUUACCUGUGUGACUGCGUACCUUUUGUAUAAUGGGUCAGCGACUUAUAUUCUGUAGCAAGGUUAACCGAAUAGGGGAGCCGCAGGGAAACCGAGUCUUAACCGGGCGUUAAGUUGCAGGGUAUAGACCCGAAACCCGGUGAUCUAGCCAUGGGCAGGUUGAAGGUUGGGUAACACUAACUGGAGGACCGAACCGACUAAUGUUGAAAAAUUAGCGGAUGACCUGUGGCUGGGGGUGAAAGGCCAAUCAAACCGGGAGAUAGCUGGUUCUCCCCGAAAGCUAUUUAGGUAGCGCCUCGUGAACUCAUCUCCGGGGGUAGAGCACUGUUUCGGCUAGGGGGUCAUCCCGACUUACCAACCCGAUGCAAACUGCGAAUACCGGAGAAUGUUAUCACGGGAGACACACGGCGGGUGCUAACGUCCGUCGUGAAGAGGGAAACAACCCAGACCGCCAGCUAAGGUCCCAAAGUCAUGGUUAAGUGGGAAACGAUGUGGGAAGGCCCAGACAGCCAGGAUGUUGGCUUAGAAGCAGCCAUCAUUUAAAGAAAGCGUAAUAGCUCACUGGUCGAGUCGGCCUGCGCGGAAGAUGUAACGGGGCUAAACCAUGCACCGAAGCUGCGGCAGCGAC
Molecule: ribosomal RNA, 790 nt
Filed under: Salmonella enterica subsp. enterica serovar Legon
Lineage: Bacteria; Pseudomonadati; Pseudomonadota; Gammaproteobacteria; Enterobacterales; Enterobacteriaceae
Description: bacterial LSU rRNA
Rfam family: Bacterial large subunit ribosomal RNA
Source: RNAcentral